This is a non-coding RNA of Otolemur garnettii (small-eared galago), 299 nucleotides long. Lineage: Eukaryota; Metazoa; Chordata; Mammalia; Primates; Galagidae. The record is from Rfam.
GCUGGAUGCAGUGGCAUGUGCCUGUAGUCCCAGCUACUUGGGAGGCUGAGAGAGGAGGAAUGCUUGAAUCCAGGAGUUUUGGGCUGUAGUGCGCUAUGCUGAUCAGGUGUCUGCACUAAGUUCAGUAUCAAUAUGGUUACCUCCCAGGAGCAGGGGGCCACCAGGUUGCCUAAGGAGGAGUGAACCAGCCCAGGUCAGAAAUGGAGCAGGUCAAAACUCCCGUGCUGAUCAGUAGUGGGACUGCACCUGUGACUAGCCACUGUACUCCAGCCUGGGCAACAUAGUGAGACCCAUCUCAU